AGAAUAAGGGUUCGACUCCGGAGAGGGAGCCUGAGAAACGGCUACCACAUCCAAGGAAGGCAGCAGGCGCGCAAAUUACCCACUCUCGGCACGAGGAGGUAGUGACGAAAAAUAACGAGACGGAUCUCUUUGUGGCCCGUUAUCGGAAUGAGAACAAUUCAAAUCCUUUAACGAGGAUCUAGCGGAGGGCAAGUCUGGUGCCAGCAGCCGCGGUAAUUCCAGCUCCGCAGGUGUAUAUCUAUGCUGCUGCGGUUAAAAAGCUCGUAGUUGGAUCUGCGUGCUCGGAACUGGUUGGCUCACUGAGCUCAUACUGGUCUCCGGCGCUUUAUUGGCUGGUUUUCCCUUGAUGCUCUUAACCGGGUGUCUUGGGUGGCUAGCACGUUUACUUUGAAAAAAUUAGAGUGCUCAAUACAGGCGCAAAGCCUUGAAUAGUGGUGCAUGGAAUAAUAGAAUAGGACCUCGGCUCUAUUUUGUUGGUUUUCGGAACGCGAGGUAAUGAUUAAGAGGGACAGACGGGGGCAUUCGUAUUGCGACGUUAGAGGUGAAAUUCUUGGAUCGUCGCAAGACGGACGACUGCGAAAGCAUUUGCCAAGAAUGUUUUCAUUAAUCAAGAACGAAAGUUAGAGGUUCGAAGGCGAUCAGAUACCGCCCUAGUUCUAACCGUAAACGAUGCCAACUAGCGAUUCGCAGGCGUUAAACAACGACCUUGCGGGCAGCUUCCCGGAAACGAAAGUGUUCGGGUUCCGGGGGAAGUAUGGUUGCAAAGCUGAAACUUAAAGGAAUUGACGGAAGGGCACCACCAGGAGUGGAGCCUGCGGCUUAAUUUGACCCAACACGGGAAAACUCACCCGGCCCGGACACCGUAAGGAUUGACAGAUUGAGAGCUCUUUCUUGAUUCGGUGGGUGGUGGUGCAUGGCCGUUCUUAGUUGGUGGAGCGAUUUGUCUGGUUUAUUCCGAUAACGAACGAGACUCUGGCCUACUAAAUAGUGGGCGGAUUCUUUCUGUCCGCAACACUUCUUAGAGGGACAAGCGGUGUUCAGCCGCACGAGAUUGAGCAAUAACAAGUCUGUGAUGCCCUUAGAUGUCCGGGGCUGCACGCGCGCUACACUGAAGGAAUCAGCGUGCUUUCUGACCUUGCCCGAAAGGGCUGGGUAACCCGAUGAAAAUCCUUCGUGAUUGGGAUAGGGACUUGCAAUUAUUUCCCUUGAACGAGGAAUUUCCAGUAAGUGUGGGUCAUAAGCUCGCGUUGAUUACGUCCCUGCCCUUUGUACACACCGCCCGUCGCUGCCCGGGACUGAGCCGUUUCGAGAAGAACAGGGACCGUCGUUGAAGGGCCCUAACGGGCUUUUCUCUGAUAGAAACUGUUUUAAUCGCAGUGGCUUGAACCGGGCAAAAGUCGUAACAAGGUU
This 1410-nucleotide ribosomal RNA is filed under the name metagenome. RNAcentral describes it as "SSU rRNA". It matches the Rfam family "Eukaryotic small subunit ribosomal RNA", at positions 366 to 1801 of the family's 1831-position model. The record is from RNAcentral.